AACGAACGCUGGCGGCAUGCCUAACACAUGCAAGUCGAACGAGACCUUCGGGUCUAGUGGCGCACGGGUGCGUAACGCGUGGGAACCUGCCCUUAGGUUCGGAAUAACUCCCCGAAAGGGGUGCUAAUACCGGAUAAUGUCUUCGGACCAAAGAUUUAUCGCCUUUGGAUGGGCCCGCGUUGGAUUAGCUAGUUGGUAGGGUAAAAGCCUACCAAGGCGACGAUCCAUAGCUGGUCUGAGAGGAUGAUCAGCCACACUGGGACUGAGACACGGCCCAGACUCCUACGGGAGGCAGCAGUGGGGAAUAUUGGACCAUGGGCGAAAGCCUGAUCCAGCAAUGCCGGGUGAGUGAUGAAGGCCUUAGGGUUGUAAAGCUCUUUUACCCGGGAUGAUAAUGACAGUACCGGGAGAAUAAGCUCCGGCUAACUCCGUG
Molecule: ribosomal RNA, 433 nt
Filed under: uncultured bacterium
Lineage: Bacteria
Description: partial 16S ribosomal RNA
Rfam family: Bacterial small subunit ribosomal RNA
Source: RNAcentral